Molecule: long non-coding RNA, 424 nt
Filed under: Rhipicephalus microplus (southern cattle tick)
Lineage: Eukaryota; Metazoa; Arthropoda; Arachnida; Ixodida; Ixodidae
Description: uncharacterized LOC119162338, transcript variant X1
Source: RNAcentral
GGCUAUUGAGAACAUGUGAUGACACUGUGUGCCUUUGCCCGAGUGUUUCGACGCUAUGCUGGAGGACAUCAUUGCAAUUUUCCUAUGGAAAAAGAAGCAAACUCCAAGCCUACAACACUGGCCUAAUGGGACUGUCAUCCUGGAGUGCCACACUGGCUAAACAUCAACUAGAUCAGAUGUUUUUCUUCCUUGAAACUGGCAUGGGACGAUGACGGACAAGUACAUGUGCUUCUGGUCUUGGGGAAGACCUGAUGCCUGUAUCAACUGCUUCCCAGCACUUGAUGGUAGUCAUGGAGUGCAUGACAUAUAUUUUCCAAGCAUUUUCUCUACAGUUUGCAGGUUUUCCUCGCAUCUGUUUCGCUGUGGUCAGUGCUUGCCCCUGACACCUUGGUGGGCCACUCUUGCUGUGCUGCACCACCAGAGG